CCACUCCACAAUAGGAGACACCAGCUGAAGAUGCGAGAUAUUGCUGGGCAGGCCCUGGCUUUUGUUCAGGAUCUUGUGACGGCUCUUCUAAACUUUCAUACCUACACAGAACAGAGGAUUCAAAUUUUUCCUGUUGAUUCUGCCAUUGACACUAUAUCUCCAUUGAAUCAGAAGUUCUCACAAUACCUUCAUGAAAAUGCGUCCUAUGUCCGCCCUCUUGAGGAAGGAAUGCUUCAUUUAUUUGAAAGUAUCACUGAGGAUACUGUGACUGUCUUGGAGACAACUGUGAAAUUGAAAACUUUUUCAGAACACUUAACCUCCUACAUAUGUUUUCUUAGGAAGAUUCUUCCCUAUCAGUUAAAAAGGUAGUUACCCCCGGAGGCCAGGGAACUUGGGGAAUUGUGGGUGUAACCUGAUCUGGCUGGCGUUAAUAAAAUAUUAACAUGUG
RNAcentral lists this small RNA (448 nucleotides) under Pan troglodytes (chimpanzee). RNAcentral's name for it is "retained intron". The record is from RNAcentral. Lineage: Eukaryota; Metazoa; Chordata; Mammalia; Primates; Hominidae.